UCCCGUGCUUAAGUGCUAAAAUACCCUUCUUUUCUCCGUACUUGCCUCUGUGAUAUCUUCUUCUCCCCAAGCGCGAAAAAUUCCUAGUUUUCCCAGUUUAAGCAAAACGAAUGAUAGUGGCAAAGGUGAAAACAAUCCCUUCGUGAUGAUCAUUGAUCCUUUACGUUUUCCUCCAUAUCUCUAAAAAAACAGACACCCUUUUGCUUGUAACAGAGGAAAAUCCUUCUUUGUCCAUGUCGCAAAACUAGACCCAUCUUGUUUCAUGAAAAUGGUGGAGCCAUUUUUGCCGGUCGGGAGGUUUCAGUUGCAGAGAAAAAGAAAGGAGCUUAAGAGAUGGGGCGUGGCGUUCUUCUCUUCACACCGGAAUCUCUUUACUGUCUUUUGGAUCGUGGCUUUCUGUUCGGUUUUUUGGUGGCAACGGAAUAUUGAUGUCAACCUGGGGUUUUUCUUGUGGGGGAAACCGUUUUUCGGUCGGCCCCUGCCGAGAUGCAGGCAUUCGCGUUUAAUUUGAUCGAUUUCGGUGGUGUAGGUGAUGGGGUGACGGUGAAUACAGUGGCGUUCGAAACACCGUGUCGGUGAUCUCGAAGCUUGGGUAGAGAGGUAGUGGGCAGCUCAAUGUGCCGCCUGGGAAGUGGCUUACGGCUCCGUUUAAUCUCACUAGUCAUAUGGCUUUGUUCCUAGCUGAGGAUGCUGAGAUUCUUGGUAUCCAGGUUUGACCUUUAGGAAAUUUUCCUUUUUGUUGAAUUCAUGAACUCUUAAGUAAGUUUAAAUUUCUACAUUUUCGGUUGUUAUUGGCUGUGAAUGGUGAUGUUGGGGUUUUAUGAUUAAUGUAAACAUGUAUGAUGAUCAUAUAAUCAAGGGAAUUCAUAGUCAUUGUACCAACUUCUAACUUCCAAAUUUCGUCGUUGAAGUUAGCCGAGCUCAUGGAUCGAUAAGUGUGUUCAAAUUUCGCAAUGAUAUUGAAUGAUUAUUCAAGACAAUGAUUGAGUUUUCGAACUUGUAGUUUAACAUUGUUAGUUGUCAUAGGCUGUGAUUAGUAGGGGGUCUUAUUUAGUUAGUGUAAACAUGUAUGACUGUCAUAUAUCGGGAGAAAUCGUAGUGAUUUCACCAAUUUCCAUCUUCCAAAUUAUGUUAGUAUAAUGAUAUGUUAGUUUAUGUUCUAGUCAUUUGGUAACUUCUCGUCGAUGAAGUUAGUUGAGCUCAUGGGUCUUACAAGUAACUGGUUAUAGCACCCAUCCAAGAAAAAGUUAUAGCAUCCAUCCAAGAAAAAUAGACAGAAAUAAACAUAUUGCAUGUGCGAGACUGGGAGAAUUGUGGCUGACUAGUGCUUGGUUGCGGAUGGUGACUGCUGAGGUAGAUGAUAACUCCCUGGGGGUAACUGUGUCCGUGUAGUGCUUGGUGCAGGUUGCGGCAGCUAAUGAGGUUGGCUAUACCCUGAUGGAGGAAAGUACGGAUAAUGAUGAUCAAAACCGAAUUGACUAUGGCUGGCACCAUCUACCGCACAACCCACUGGAUGGAAAGGCUCAUGUGCACUAUGUCUUGGAGCAUAGUCUGUUUUAGAUGGUUUGUAUGAAGUUCCCACCAAGUGAAUGAAAAUUACAAGGUAACAAAGAAUCGUGAGCCAAAAUGAGGAUUAUGAUAAAAGGAGGCGUAUGGAAGAACACGGAGGAUAAGAUAUUGAAGGCGGCGAUUAUGAAAUAUGGGAAGAACCAAUGGGCUCGAAUUUCUUCUUUGCUUGUUCGUAAAUCUGCUAAGCAAUGUAAAGCUCGCUGGUAUAAGUGGCUCGAUCCCUCCAUUAAAAAGACCGAAUGGACUAGAGAAGAGGAUGAGAAGCUGCUUCGUCUUGCUAAGCUCAUGCCAAUGCAAUGGAGGACGAUUGCCCCAAUUGUUGGCCGAACACCUUCUCAAUGUCUUGAACGUUUCGAGAAACUCCUUGAUGAACAUCGCAAAUUAGGUGAAUGAGAAGCAGGCUGGCCAUCACGACACAUAGCACACCUGCAAAGGAAUCAGUAUGAAAGUGAUGGGCAUCUUGCCAAAGCUAUAUAUUUCAUAAAUUUCUUUUUCUCACUAAUGUUCACAUUCUGCAGCUGUGAACUAUUUUAAUAAAUGAACCACCCUCACCUUUUCAACCUUGAAACGAAAAAAAACCUCCAGUAGUGCCAUUACCAUUAGCAGUUAAUUGAUGUUGCUUCUUUGAGCAACAUGAUGAUUCCUUCAAAAGAGGAAA
This is an RNA transcript of Hibiscus syriacus, 2227 nucleotides long. It is a transcript of the gene named cell division cycle 5-like protein, with no coding region annotated. Lineage: Eukaryota; Viridiplantae; Streptophyta; Magnoliopsida; Malvales; Malvaceae. The record is from RefSeq and is a predicted model, not a curated record. The transcript is spliced from 3 exons.